UAUGACACAAUUUGAUAAAAGCAAUUCAAAUUAGUGUGCCUGGUGUCAGGGACAGGGAGCAAACUAUAAUCUUGAGACAUCUGAAUUAGCCAUAAGGCCAGGAAUGGUGAAUGGAUCAAUUCAACAUUAGCAAUAGUAAAAUCAUUAACACAAAACAGGAGAGAGCAAAUUCACUUGGUGUAAAUUGAUUAGUUUUCAAUCCUUUUAUACCAUUUUGCACUUGUACUGAAUUGAUGUCUUUGCAGAGUUCAGGGCAAGCAUUUCAGCUUCUCUCUUCUCCACUUCAUUAGCUUCAACUUCCCUUCUGCCAUUGUCCUUUUUCUGUUCGCAAAUGCUGCUUCUCACCAGUUCACCAAGGACUAAGGCCUUGUUCGACAAUAGUUUUUAAGAUAGUGUUUAGUGAAUUCACCAAGGAUGAUGCAUGAGUAAUUUCAUGAUUUGAAGCAGGGGAUGAGAGUUUAUACAAGUAGUUGACAAAGAUCACUAACAUAUCAGGCAUACUGUAGUAUUAUAUCAGGGAAAAAAGGCUGGGGUACAAAGAUAAGCAGAAUGCUCCCUUGUUCCAAAAUACAUUGCAGUUCUCAGUGUUCAUAGAGUUUUAUAAGCAAUUUGAGAAUUACAAUGGAAGAAAAAAAAAAUGUCCUAUCUCAUAACUGUUUUUAAAAUAAGCAUAUUUAAAUGAAUAAGAGGAAACCCAUGAAAUUACCCUGAGAGAAUCAGAAUUGUGUAAGUGCAACCACAGAUUUCUAGGUUAAUGCAUUGGCACCUGCAACAAUCUCCAGUAUUUCUCCGGUAAUCUUUGCCUGGCGCUCCCUAUUGUAAACGAUGGAAAGGGUCUUCUUCAAUUCUACUGCAUUAUCAGUUGCAUUGCUCAUAGCGCUCAUCCUAGAAGCAAGCUCACUGGCCAGUGAUUCCUGCAAUGCCUUCAAAAUUUGACUAUUCAAAUAUAGAGGUAACAAGGCAUCAAGAAUCUGAACUGGGUCCUGCUCAAACUGCAAAAUGGGUGAGAAAUCUACUGUUUGAGUCCUAAAAACAUCUCUCUCUACAGUUAACUUCCCUUCUUUUGUUGUCAACCUGAAGAGUUCAUCCUCAGCAGCAUCCACACAGUUCCCAUUAAUGUCACAAAUCUCUCCCUUUGGUGAGAGUGGAAGCAAUGUGUGUAUGACAGGAUCAGACUUGACCAGUGACACAAAUUUCGUGUAUAAAAGCUCCACCUUAUCAACCUCUUCGCUAACAAAGAGUGAAAAUACAUCAUCUGCAAUUGCUUGAGCCUCUUUAGCUGUAGGGAGAGUGGUACCCUCAAGAAACCUAUCAACUGGGAUAUAAGGCCGCCUUACAAAAUAAGAGUUGCCCUUCUUUCCAACGCUAACGACAGUAUAAUCAAGUCCAAGACCCUGCAAUUCUGCAAUUCUUGCUUCUGCUUUUUUGAUAAUAUUAUUGUUGAAAGGUCCACAAAGACCUCUAUCACCAGUAACAACAACCAGAGCAACUUUCUUGACCGGCCUAAUUUUGGUGAGAGGCACAUCUAUGUCCUCAGUUUGGAGCUGUUCAUUAAUGUUGUAAAGAACUUCUACAAGAGUUUCAGAGAAAGGCCUACCAUUGACAACAGCUUCUUGUGCUCUCCUCACCUUUGCAGCAGCAACAAGCUUCAUGGCCUCGGUGAUCUUCUGUGUGUUCUUCACUGAAUUUAUACGACUUCGAAGCUCACGGAGACCACAAUGAAUUGGGGUCACAGAAGAGGAUCUUGAAGGGUUGCUGCUGGAUGAACUGUGAGUAGGAAGCUGAAAAGGGUUGAGAGAAGAGCGAAAAGAUAGUGAAGAGGUGUCAGAAAGAGAUGGUUUUGAGGACACCAACAUUGUCAGAUUCGAGCAAGACAUGUUGGUAGUGAACGUUCUGUAGCUCUAGCCAGAGAUCAAAAGAGAAGAGGAGGGAGUUCUGGCUUGUGGUUUUUAGUCUGUCAGAAUGGUUUACGCGAGUGUCUUAUCUUUUUCAUGUUUAUGGUUUAUGGUUUAGAGGAAAUGAGUGGAGGGAAGGGAAGGGAGAGGAUGAGGCUUUGGGAUAAGGAUUUUGACCGUUGGAGAUUGCUUUGGACAAGCAUUUGAUUCAUUUGCUGUAACAUUAUUGUACAUGUCUAAGCUGAUGUGGCAAGAUCUUUGUGGAAUACUGC
Molecule: unclassified non-coding RNA, 2167 nt
Filed under: Hevea brasiliensis (rubber tree)
Lineage: Eukaryota; Viridiplantae; Streptophyta; Magnoliopsida; Malpighiales; Euphorbiaceae
Source: RNAcentral